UACGUAGGGUGCAAGCGUUAAUCGGAAUUACUGGGCGUAAAGCGUGCGCAGGCGGUUUUUGUAAGACAGGCGUGAAAUCCCCGGGCUCAACCUGGGAAUGGCGCUUGUGACUGCAAAGCUAGAGUGCGGCAGAGGGGGGUGGAAUUCCACGUGUAGCAGUGAAAUGCGUAGAGAUGUGGAGGAACACCGAUGGCGAAGGCAGCCCCCUGGGCCAGCACUGACGCUCAUGCACGAAAGCGUGGGGAGCAAACAGGAUUAGAUACCCGUGUAGU
RNAcentral lists this ribosomal RNA (272 nucleotides) under uncultured bacterium. RNAcentral's name for it is "partial 16S ribosomal RNA". It matches the Rfam family "Bacterial small subunit ribosomal RNA", at positions 524 to 794 of the family's 1533-position model. The record is from RNAcentral.